RNAcentral lists this unclassified non-coding RNA (1466 nucleotides) under Hevea brasiliensis (rubber tree). The record is from RNAcentral. Lineage: Eukaryota; Viridiplantae; Streptophyta; Magnoliopsida; Malpighiales; Euphorbiaceae.
UUUCUGCAGACAACCACAAGGUUUGCAACAAUGGCAACAGAUUUUUCCUUCAAACUUUGGCCUUCCUGAAACGUCAAGUAUUUAAAAAGUACCUAUAUUUGGCAGCAGACGGGAUGUACAUAAUAAGCACGAAGCACGAAAUGCCAAACAGGCUUCCAAAGGCAGAAGAUGACUGAACCCUUCAACCAGGAAGACAUCCAUACUUUAGAAGAAGAAUUCAUUGAGCAAACUCAAUCAUUGUUUCCCUUCAGCCCACCAAUAUAGCUUUCCUGCUCUCCAUCCUCAAUGUUUCCAGUAAGCAUUUCUCUACUAUUGUUAUUGUGGACAAGAUCCAGGAAAAAAUCUGUCAAAACAGACUCAUAAUUUGGCAUCUUGGCAUAGCCCGGAAAAUAGUUUAUAUCAAUGACAAGAUACCUAUUGCCAUCUUUAGCAUCCCUCAUCACAUCAAAGUUGAACAAAUUAAGCCUGGUUUCCUGCCUCAUCGCCCUGGCUAUCUCCUCCAAAAAUCCCAAUGGCGGCAUUUCCACUUUCUCGAGAUCGACUGCAUCACCAAAGCACUCAUUCUUCACCGCCACAGUCAAAUUCGAUAUUUGAGAAAAUGAUAAAGAACCCUUCAAUGUAGCUAAUUUCUCCUGCGAUAUAUCAGGAAGCGACUUCCUCUUUACACAUUGCACGUAGUCACCAGCAACAUAAACUUUGAAAAUCACCCCACCAUGAUUUACAAAGUCCUGCAAGAUAAUAGGCGUAUCUAGCCUCUUCAACCCUUCACUGUCAAAAAUUUGAUACAUUUUGUGCGAUUUUGCACUCCCAUCAGCCACCAAAGGUUUCGCUAGUAAAGGAAACCCUAGCUCCCCAACUACAAUAUUUCCCUUCAAAUUCCCCGAGUCCAAAACGACUACCUGUUUAGGUACCUCCAAGACUUGGCUUCUCUUGGAAAUCUUUAACCGACCGACUACUUCGAGCAUAGAAAUCCGGUUGUGCAGCCUCUCGAUGGAAACAGGAGAAUCAACAAUGGGAACAUUAGGGUUUUCCAAAGAGAAACGCUCCAGUUGCAGCUUCCAAUCUGAACCAUACAGCUUGUGGAUGACACAGUCGAAUGGCCCUUGUUCAAUUAGGGAUUUCGAAGGAUCGAUAGCGACCAGAUCGAUGCUAUGGCGACUCGCGAGGCUAAUGAGGGAUGGCUGGAUAAAGCUCUGCACUUUCUUGGGCGCCAGUGCGUAGCCUAUGCGGUGCUGUUUCGCCUGGGUUGACAUGGCUGCUGCUUGGAAGGCAAGAAACCGGAGAGAAACCGUUCCUCUGAGAGAAAAGAGAAAGAAAAACUGAAAGAGAACAAUUUGAGACUCUCAGAGAAGGAAUAGAAAAUUUAUAGAACAGUGAGAGAGUGAAGAGAGGUUUUACAGUUACGAAUACAAUAGAAAGAGACACACAGGAGGUUGGAUUUUUCGUUUCUGUAGGUGAAGAGUGAG